Molecule: ribosomal RNA, 258 nt
Filed under: uncultured bacterium
Lineage: Bacteria
Description: partial 16S ribosomal RNA
Rfam family: Bacterial small subunit ribosomal RNA
Source: RNAcentral
GAUCCUGGCUCAGGAUGAACGCUGGCGGCGUGCUUAACACAUGCAAGUCGAACGGAAAGGCCCAAGCUUGCUUGGGUACUCGAGUGGCGAACGGGUGAGUAACACGUGGGUGAUCUGCCCCGCACUUCGGGAUAAGCCUGGGAAACUGGGUCUAAUACCGGAUAGGACCACUUCUUGGAGGUUGUGGUGGAAAGUUUUUUCGGUGUGGGAUGAGCUCGCGGCCUAUCAGCUUGUUGGUGGGGUAAUGGCCUACCAAGG